RNAcentral lists this ribosomal RNA (1343 nucleotides) under metagenome. RNAcentral describes it as "SSU rRNA". It matches the Rfam family "Eukaryotic small subunit ribosomal RNA", at positions 1 to 1378 of the family's 1831-position model. The record is from RNAcentral.
UCUGGUUGAUCCUGCCAGUAGUCAUAUGCUUGUCUCAAAGAUUAAGCCAUGCAUGUCUAAGUAUAAAUAGUAUACAGUGAAACUGCGAAUGGCUCAUUAAAACAGUUAUAGUUUAUUUGAUAAUUGACAAUUACAUGGAUAACCGUGGUAAUUCUAGAGCUAAUACAUGCUUAAACGCCCGACUUUAUGGAAGGGUGGUAUUUAUUAGACUGAAGCCAAUAUUCCUUGUGUCUAUUGCGGUGAUUCAUAAUAACUGAUCGAAUCUCUUUUUGAGAUAAAUCAUUCAAGUUUCUGCCCUAUCAGCUUUCGAUGGUAGUGUAUUGGACUACCAUGGCAGUAACGGGUAACGAAGAAUUAGGGUUCGAUUUCGGAGAGGGAGCAUGAGAAACGGCUACCACAUCUAAGGAAGGCAGCAGGCGCGUAAAUUACCCAAUCCUGACUCAGGGAGGUAGUGACAAGAAAUAGCAAACCGGGAACCUCAUGGUUUCACGGUAUUGCAAUGAGAACAAUUUAAAACCCUUAGCGAGAAUCAAGUGGAGGACAAGUCUGGUGCCAGCACCCGCGGUAAUUCCAGCUCCACUAGCGUAUAUUAAAGUUGUUGCAGUUAAAAAGCUCGUAGUUGAACCUCUGUCUGGGGCUAGUUUUGGCUUUGGUCAGGCUAGUUCUAGGCAUCCGCCUACAAGACUUAGAGGGCAUUCAGUUGUUCACUAGGAGGAGUAGGCAUUUUACUUUGAAAAAAUUAGAGUGUUUAAGGCAGGCAAUCGCCCGCAUAUAUUAGCAUGGAAUAAUAGAAUAGGACACUUUUCCAUUUCGUUGGUUAUUGGAAUCGUGUAAUGAUUAACAGGGACAGUUGUGGGCAUUUGUAUUUAAUUGUCAGAGGUGAAAUUCUUGGAUUUAUUAAAGACAAACUAACGCGAAAGCAUUUGCCAAGGAUGUUUUCAUUAAUCAAGAACGAAAGUUAGGGGAUCAAAGACGAUCAGAUACCGUCCUAGUCUUAACUAUAAACUAUUCCGACUCAAUGUUUGACUGGCUUAUAUAACCAGUUGAGCGUUGUAUGAGAAAUCAAAGUCUUUAGGUUCUGGGGGGAGUAUGGUUGCAAAGCUGAAACUUAAAGGAAUUGACGGAAGAGCACAACCAGGAGUGGAUUCUGCGGCUUAAUUUGACUCAACACGGGGAAACUUACCAGGUUAAAACAAUUGUGGGAUUGACAGUUUGAGAGCGCUUUCUUGAUUGGUUGGGUGGUGGUGCAUGGCCGUUCUUAGUUGGUGGAGUGAUUUGUCUGCUUAAUUGCGUUAACGAACGAGACCUUAACCUGCUUACUAGACUGGCGAUCAUCAAUCAAU